RNAcentral lists this ribosomal RNA (34 nucleotides) under Mattirolomyces terfezioides. RNAcentral describes it as "25S ribosomal RNA". The record is from RNAcentral. Lineage: Eukaryota; Fungi; Ascomycota; Pezizomycetes; Pezizales; Pezizaceae.
UCGACCUCAGAUCAGGUAGGGAUACCCGCUGAAC